Molecule: ribosomal RNA, 301 nt
Filed under: uncultured bacterium
Lineage: Bacteria
Description: partial 16S ribosomal RNA
Rfam family: Bacterial small subunit ribosomal RNA
Source: RNAcentral
CAGCAGCCACGGGAAUACGUAGGAGGCAAGCGUUGUCCGGAAUUACUGGGCGUAAAGCGCGCGCAGGCGGUUUUUUAAGCCUGGUGUCUAAAUGCGGGGCUCAACCCCGUGACGCACUGGAAACUGGGAGACUUGAGUGCAGAAGAGGAGAGCGGAAUUCCACGUGUAGCGGUGAAAUGCGUAGAGAUCGGGAGGAACAUCAGUGGCGAAGGCGGCCAUCUGGGACAACACUGACGCUGAGGUACGAAAGCGUGGGGAGCAAACAGGAUUAGAUACCCGCGUAGUCCCUGUCUCUUAUACA